This 253-nucleotide ribosomal RNA is filed under the name uncultured bacterium. RNAcentral describes it as "partial 16S ribosomal RNA". It matches the Rfam family "Bacterial small subunit ribosomal RNA", at positions 524 to 776 of the family's 1533-position model. The record is from RNAcentral.
UACAGAGGUCUCAAGCGUUGUUCGGAUUCAUUGGGCGUAAAGGGCUCGUAGGCGGUUUGUCGCGUCGGGAGUGAAAUCCACUGGCUUAACUGGUGGCUUGCUUUCGAUACGGGCAGACUGGAGGUAUGCAGGGGAGAACGGAAUUCCUGGUGUAGCGGUGAAAUGCGCAGAUAUCAGGAGGAACACCGGUGGCGAAGGCGGUUCUCUGGGCAUGUCCUGACGCUGAGGAGCGAAAGUGUGGGGAGUGAACAGG